This 497-nucleotide ribosomal RNA is filed under the name uncultured bacterium. RNAcentral describes it as "partial 16S ribosomal RNA". It matches the Rfam family "Bacterial small subunit ribosomal RNA", at positions 28 to 507 of the family's 1533-position model. The record is from RNAcentral.
GACGAACGCUGGCGGCGUGCCUAAUACAUGCAAGUCGAGCGAACAGACGAGGAGCUUGUUCCUCUGACGUUAGCGGCGGACGGGUGAGUAACAAGUACAUAACCUACCUAUCAGCAUGGGAUAACCACGGGACACAGGAGACAAUAACGGAUAAAUUAUUGAAAAGCAUGGUUCAAUCGUGAAAGAAGGUUUUGCCGUCAACUUUAGAUCGAUCCGCGCCGCAUUGGCUAGUUGGUAAGGAACCGGCUUACCAAGGCGACGAUGAUUAGCGGAACUGCGAGGGGGAUCGGCCACACUGGAACGGGGACACGGUCCAGACUCCUACGGGAGGCAGCAGUGGGGAAUCUUCCGCAAUGGGCGAAGGCCUGACGGAGCAACGCCGCUGGAGUGAUGAAGGUCUUCGGAUCGUAAAACUCUGGUAUUGGGGAAGAACGAAAGUGUGAGAAGCAAUGCACGUCUUGACGGUACCGAAUCAGAAAGCCACGGCUAACUACGUG